CUGGCCGCAUGAUCCGAAUCUCGACCACAGGAUUUCCUCAUCGACAAAGGGUUGGUCCACCAAGGCCAUCCGAAUUUCUCCUUGAGUUUCCGGAUAAGCCGCAGGCUGUUGGGGCGACGUGACGAGCGACGUGUCGGCGUCGGCGCCGACGCUGGCCGACGCCAUGCGUCCAAGAUGGCCGCGGAUCGUUAAAUGGUCACGCGCAAGCUCCCGAAGGGGUGACCAAGUGGGAGCGGGCGGGGUCGAUUUUAGGAGCGCGUGCUGUUACUCCUUAAUCAGAUAGAACCCUCUUUAGGACUAUGAGAUCGACCUUGACUUAUAGGGAAAAAAGAAAAAGGAACAAGAAAAGGAUGAAACAGAGAUCGAAGUUUCGAGGCUAAAUAAAUAUCGAAGUAGUGUGACUAAAGUUUUUUCAUUACGACUAUUUCGAUCUCGAUCGUUCUAACUUUUAACGGCAUUUUUAUUUUACGAGGUUGUAACGAACCAACGAAAAACUAGAAAAAAUGGUGAACAACCAUUUCUCGUUUUCACUACCAUUACGUGCUAGCGUACACGUGGCUAUUACUUUUUCAACUGACUGUCGGUAUUGUUUUAUAUAAUCUCCAUCGUGAAAAUCGUUCGCACACGCUAUGACUUUUUUGAUAGGAGUUGAAUUUUUCAAUUCUUUUUUUGAAUUCCGUACGAAUCGUGAAGUUUUCUAAAUGUAUAUACCAUAUAUAUAUAUAAUAUAUAAUAUAUGUAUACAUAUACAUUUUUUCUACUAUUGUAACAAAUAAGCUGAACCAAAUGUAAUAAAUUUUUACACACAGUUUAUCUACAGUAACAAAAAGUGGCUUUUAAAAGUUUGAUAAAAAUUUCCGAGUAAAACUCAUUUAAUCGUGAGUUUUUUAAUAUUAAAAUAUAGUUAGAGUGACAAUCGUUUCUAACACAUAAAAGUUAAACGAUGUAACGAUUAUGUAAAUUAAGAAAAUAAACGUAAUGUUAAUAUAUGACAAUCGUUUCUGUGACAAAUGAUAAACUAAAGUCGGGAAAAAAUCAUUCUACAUGAGAACUGCAAAAAAAAUGAACUCAGUUUGAAUGGCGUAAAUAAUCAAGCAGGGUUGUGUCUUAUUUUUUCUCAUCCUAUUGGGAAAGUUGUCGAAAGAGGUGGUUGACCUGCUCAAAAAGCAGUAAUUUCCGAACAGAAGGGUAAGCAUUUAUCGAGAGAGCGAAUGAGAAAGAGAGAGAAACGAUCGUCAUACGGCGUCGUGACGUGUUCGCGCUUUUUCGCGCAAAACCGAAACGAAAUGUCAACGGGAACGUCACGCUCAAUUUUUUUUCCCGUUUCCUCGCACGCGCCACUUGCGCGUACACUCGCUCGCAAAUUUUCGAGCAAUCGUCGAGGGAUUUACACAUGUCAAGUUAAGUUAACGUUACACCGCAUUACGUGUUUUGCGAACAAUGCAACGGGUUUCCCUCCUGUUAGGACUACUCCCUUCUUCGCGAGUUCGGUGAAACCGCGAAUUCGAGAAAUAAUAGAAAUAAUAAAAUGAAAGGAGACAAGCAAAGAGAUAUUGAAAGAGAAAAAAAUAAAAUUAAAGAAAUAGAAUAUUACUUCUUUAUCAAGUACGAACAAUACCAUGAAUGUACUUUUUGUUACGUAAUUAUUUAUAAGCGAUUUGGUAAUAAAUUUAAACUUUUUUCCAACAUUAAAUUUAAAAUGCUACUACCAACUCGUGUCGUAUCAGUGAAGUAACAUUUAAACAGCAGUUAAGUUGUUAUUACGGAUUGAAGUUAUGUACAUGUACGGUAAGUAAAGACUAUGUUAAAGACUUCGAAGUUGUGGCGUUUUUCAAUCGUCGAUCGACAAGAGCAGAUUUAUAGUCGCAACUUAGCCCGGCUACCGCGACUUGCAAAGUCAGAAAACUCUUCCAUGUCUGUUAUAUCUAUAUACCUACAUGUAUUAAGCUAAUAUUUAUUCGAAAACCAUAAACCAUUGAAAGUUUUUUUCAAAUUGCGAUUAAUGAUACAACGAAUAUGACGUAGAAAUUUAAUGAUUUUAUGGAAAAUCGAAAAAGAAAAAAUGAGUGGCAGAAACAUCUCGCAAAUGACGUAUCGUUAAGUGAUCGAUAAUGACUUACAAGCAACGUCAUGGAUAGGAAUAGAAGAUCAUUCUGUUUGUCGAUCGAAAGACCGAUGACUACUCGAUAAAAGAUUCUUGAUUGCGGGAUAAAUCUCUGGAAUCUCAGUUGCUGCGACGCCAUAAUGGGAAUUCUUCGUUGAUUACGGAUAGUUAAGUUUAAGAAUCGGUCAUUAUCAAUAGCAGGUGUUGCACAGACUAGUAUAAAGUUUCAAAAUGAAUGAGAUUAUCGUACGUUGAGCGUUUGCGGUAGAUAAUUGCUUAUUGUACGGAAAACGCGUGCGUUAACUUCGAGAAAAAGUUUAUAUAUAUGAUCGAACUUGAACUAUAGAAGCCUAAGUGAUACCUACAAUAUCUUCGUCUAUAUAGACAAUAUUUUUAAUUCAUGAAAUCAGUAAUAACAUAUACGAAAUACUAAAGCACGAUUGUUAAUGCGAGAAUAGUUACUAAUGGCAAAUUAUUUGAGAACAAUUAUUUAAAUUUACUAUCUUUAAAGAUUGCUUUGCACAAAAUCGUGACGUACGUACGAGGAACAAGUUAGGAGGAUUUCCGAUGUCAAUGACAUCAAGUCGACCGUAUGUCGUUCAUUUUCAGGCGGGUUGAUUUCGAUGAACGGGUACUCAGCUUUCGUCCAUCCCACGCCUCCUCCCCUCGUCAUUAAGUUACGUAUACUCGUUGCCUAAUUGCUGCUCUCGCGAAAAUACCGUCAAUUUUCAAGAGCACAUGGUUCCGCGACAUGCUCCUCGACGCAUAAGCGCAUGACCUCCCUACAGGUGGCAUUAUGUAGAGAAA
This 2911-nucleotide long non-coding RNA is filed under the name Polistes fuscatus (common paper wasp). RNAcentral's name for it is "uncharacterized LOC122521283". Lineage: Eukaryota; Metazoa; Arthropoda; Insecta; Hymenoptera; Vespidae. The record is from RNAcentral.